UACAGGCUUAACACAUGCAAGUCGAGGGGCAGCAUGAUCGAAGCUUGCUUUGAUUGAUGGCGACCGGCGCACGGGUGAGUAACGCGUAUCCAACCUUCCCUAUAGUAGAGAAUAGCCCGGCGAAAGUCGGAUUAAUGCUCUAUGUUGUAUUUAGAGGACAUCUGAAGAAUACCAAAGGUUUACCGCUAUAGGAUGGGGAUGCGUCUGAUUAGGUAGUAGGCGGGGUAACGGCCCACCUAGCCGACGAUCAGUAGGGGUUCUGAGAGGAAGGUCCCCCACAUUGGAACUGAGACACGGUCCAAACUCCUACGGGAGGCAGCAGUGAGGAAUAUUGGUCAAUGGACGGAAGUCUGAACCAGCCAAGUAGCGUGCAGGAUGACGGCCCUAUGGGUUGUAAACCGCUUUUAUAUAGGGAUAAAGUCGGGGACGUGUCCCCGUUUGUAGGUACUAUAUGAAUAAGGACCGGCUAAUUCCGUGCCAGCAGCCGCGGUAAUACGGAAGGUCCAGGCGUUAUCCGGAUUUAUUGGGUUUAAAGGGAGCGCAGGCUGAUGAUUAAGCGUGACGUGAAAUGUAGCCGCUCAACGGCUGAACUGCGUCGCGAACUGGUUAUCUUGAGUGAGUUCGAUGUUGGCGGAAUUCGUGGUGUAGCGGUGAAAUGCUUAGAUAUCACGAAGAACUCCGAUUGCGAAGGCAGCCAACAAGGCCUUUACUGACGCUAAAGCUCGAAGGUGCGGGUAUCGAACAGGAUUAGAUACCCUGGUAGUCCGCACGGUAAACGAUGGAUGCCCGCUGUUUGCGAUAUACUGUGAGCGGCA
This 815-nucleotide ribosomal RNA is filed under the name uncultured rumen bacterium. RNAcentral describes it as "bacterial SSU rRNA". It matches the Rfam family "Bacterial small subunit ribosomal RNA", at positions 41 to 848 of the family's 1533-position model. The record is from RNAcentral.